UUUCCGAUCCAAAAGUCCAAGUACUGCGUUGGUUUUGUGCAGUACACUAGUACUUGUACUACAUUUCACUUAGUUUUUUUCACUCAUUUCACCCUUUUUUUUUUCACUCUUUCUUUCUUUAUUUUUGUUUUAUUUUUUUCACUCAUUUCACUUUUAUUUAUUUCUUUUUUUUUCCCACUCAAACCCUCUUCUUCUCCAUCCCACGAUCCCCAAACUCCAUUAAGGACAAGAAGAUUGAGGAUUCAAUCGAGAGACUGCCAUCCAGUGGUUGGACAACAACCAGUUGUCGGAUGCCGAUGAGUUCGAAGACAAGAUGGAAUUGGAGAGCAUCUGCAACCCAAUCACAAGAACCUUUUGGUUGAUGAGUAGGAAGAGGAAAUCACAAGGGAAUUGAUUGAAAUUGCUUAGAUUCAGAAACCCUAAGAUAUUGCGGUGGUUGUUUUGAUGGAACCGCGGAUAACGAUGUUGUUCGAAGAAGCGAAUCUUCAAAUGAGGAGAACAAAGAGGAAAGACCACCAGACUUGAGGCGUGAGUGAAAGAUUUGGACCCGUGGGGACUCGUAAGAACCAGCUCGUUUCAAAAGGGCCAGGUUAGGUCCGGAUCCUAUUUUGAAAAAUCCAAAAUCUGCCCCGCCCUGCCCCAUUGUAUUUACGAACAGAUCCGGUCCGGUUCCUUUAAUUUUGGGCUCGACCCGGCCCAUGCCCGCCCCUAGUUUUGUUUAUGUGUGUGUGUGUGUUUUCGAAGUUGGUAUUUUUUUCUAUGAGUAGCUAUUAUGCAUGUAUGCAGUAUAAUACUAUUCGACUAUGUUUAUGUACAACUUUUCAUCUUUGCCUUUCUUAACUAAGAGCCAGAAAGAUGUGGUUUGAAAGGAAAUAAUGAAAUAUUAAGCGUUCGACCUAGCAAUUUAUAAUU
Molecule: long non-coding RNA, 912 nt
Organism: Pyrus x bretschneideri (Chinese white pear)
Lineage: Eukaryota; Viridiplantae; Streptophyta; Magnoliopsida; Rosales; Rosaceae
Exons: 3
Source: RefSeq, a predicted model, not a curated record